AGGAUGAACGCUAGCGGGAGGCUUAACACAUGCAAGGUCGAGGGGUAAAUGGUAGCAAUACUAUGAGACCGGCGGACGGGUGCGUAACGCGUAUGCAACAUACCUUGUGCAGGGGGAUAGCCCGUGGAAACGCGGAUUAAUAUUCCAUAGUCCAGCUAUAUCGCAUGGUAUAGUUGGUAAAGAUUUAUCGGCACAAGUUUGGCAUGCGUCUGAUUAGCUUGUUGGUAGGGUAACGGCCUACCAAGGCUACGAUCAGUAGGGGUUCUGAGAGGAUUAACCCCCACACUGGUACUGAGACACGGACCAGACUCCUACGGGAGGCAGCAGUGAGGAAUAUUGGUCAAUGGGCGGAAGCCUGAACCAGCCAUCCCGCGUGAAGGAAGACAGCCUUACGGGUUGUAAACUUCUUUUCUGUCAGAAGAAUAAGCUUGUCGAGACGAGUGAUGCCGGUAUGACAGGAAUAAGCAUCGGCUAACUCCGUG
Molecule: ribosomal RNA, 482 nt
Filed under: uncultured bacterium
Lineage: Bacteria
Description: bacterial SSU rRNA
Rfam family: Bacterial small subunit ribosomal RNA
Source: RNAcentral